UACGGAGGGUGCGAGCGUUGUCCGGAUUUAUUGGGUUUAAAGGGUGCGUAGGCGGCCGUUUAAGUCCGGGGUGAAAGCCCGCUGCUCAACAGCGGAACUGCCCUGGAUACUGGACGGCUUGAGUACAGACGAGGUUGGCGGAAUGGACUGAGUAGCGGUGAAAUGCAUAGAUACAGUCCAGAACCCCGAUUGCGAAGGCAGCUGACUAGGCUGUUACUGACGCUGAGGCACGAAAGCGUGGGGAGCGAACAGG
This 253-nucleotide ribosomal RNA is filed under the name uncultured bacterium. RNAcentral describes it as "partial 16S ribosomal RNA". It matches the Rfam family "Bacterial small subunit ribosomal RNA", at positions 524 to 776 of the family's 1533-position model. The record is from RNAcentral.